RNAcentral lists this ribosomal RNA (493 nucleotides) under uncultured bacterium. Its description in RNAcentral is "partial 16S ribosomal RNA". It matches the Rfam family "Bacterial small subunit ribosomal RNA", at positions 28 to 506 of the family's 1533-position model. The record is from RNAcentral.
GACGAACGCUGGCGGCGCGCUUAACACAUGCAAGUCGAACGGAAAGGCCUGCUUUCCCUUGUGGAUUGCGGGUACUCGAGUGGCGAACGGGUGAGUAACACGUGAGUGAUCUGCCCCCAACUUGGGUAUAAGCCUGGGAAACUGGGUCUAAUUCCCGAUAGGACUGCAGGGUGGUGCCUGUGGUGGAAAACGAUUUUCUAGUGGUUGGGGAUGAGCUCGCGGCCUAUCAGCUUGUUGGUGGGGUAAUGGCCUACCAAGGCGGCGACGGGUAGCCGGCCUGAGAGGGGGGAGGGCAACAUUGGGACUGGGAUACGGCCCAGAAUCCUACGGGGGGCAGCAGGGGGGAAAAGUGCAAAAGUGGGGGAAGCCUGAGGCAGCGACGCCGCGGGGGGGAGGACGGCCUUGGGGGUGUAAACCCCUUUCGACCGGGAGGAAGCCCACGGGUGGGAAGGGUGGGGACGGUGGUGGUAAAAGAAGCACCGGCGAACUAAGG